This is a long non-coding RNA of Ailuropoda melanoleuca (giant panda), 2183 nucleotides long. RefSeq lists it as uncharacterized. The transcript is spliced from 5 exons. NCBI's taxonomy places the organism in Eukaryota, Metazoa, Chordata, Mammalia, Carnivora, Ursidae. The record is from RefSeq and is a predicted model, not a curated record.
AGUCGUGUCAUUGUCAGAUACCUGAGAAGGCUCCUCUCUUUCAGUGUCUGUGGGGUGUGUGUGUGUGCGCGCGCACGCGCGCGCGGGGCUCUUACCCUGCAGGAUUAAAGCCUUAGGUUAUUUCCUUUCGUCUAGCGGACUUAUUCAGACUGGGAAAUGGAGGCACCACGACCGUAAAUAACAUGCCCAAUUGGUAGAAGGGAGACUUGAACCCAGGCAAGCUGCUUCUCGAUCUCCUGUACAUAAACCAGAACGUCUGACCUGCUUUGCUCAAGUGUUUUACGAAGUCAGAAAAUUUGAAACCCAACUUUCAGAAAGUCUUUGUGAUUUCUGCUUUUCUCUUCCGUCUCCCACCACACAUGAGGCACAAGAUCAGCUGAUACCAUGGGCUGGUGUCAUGAAAGCUCUUCGGUGCCAACACCAUAGCUGUCUUUGCUGUACCUCAACAAAGCCAAGGUGCCUUUUCCUGAGAGGCUGUUGUAUAGCCAGCUUUGAACAUCUCCAGUAAAGGGACUUACUACCUCACAUUGCCUCCCCUUCAAUUUUCAGUUUGUAAAUAAUUAAAUGAACACAACUGAGGAGAAUAAACCACUGUUGCAUCUUGGCCCAAAGCUCAACUAUUGUUUCUUUGCCAUAAAUUCUUCAAAAUGGAAUCAUGAGAUCAAAAUAUAUGGACAGCUUGGUGGCUCCUGUUUUGACUAGCAAAUUUCUUUGGGGAAAAAAAAUGUUUCUGCUCACUACCUUGUCAACCCAAAGCCCAAUGGCUCUCACAUCCCGUAUUCCACAGGGACAUACCCCACCUUUGUCCUGGACCUUGGAUACACACACUGCAUGUGUGCAUCAAGGUUUUAGCAAGGCCAUCCUCAAGGCAGAGGUGAGAGUCCGUGCUGGGCAAGCUGACUCACGCUGGCCUCGUCCCAAGGCUGACCUCAGCCCCAGUGAGAAGGCAGAGAGGAAAUGCUGCUGCUCCUUCGGCUUGGAGAACACAUGCCUGGGGCAGUAGAGGGGAGCAGGAUAGAGAACUGCACUGUCAAAAGGACUUUCCUGCUAGAGUAGGAGUCAAUGUGGCGUACUGCUGUCAGGCAUUUUCAUGAUAAAAGCCACUAUUUGUUCAGUUAGAAGGGGAGAUUACCAAUUCUUCAUUCACCCAUUGCUCUCCAUGUUCCUGUUCUAGAGAAGAGCAAUGGGUCAGUCACAAUUUCUGCAGAGCACGAUCCUCAGCUCAUGAGUCUGUCAGGGUCCUGAGGGAGGGGGCCUGUCCAGUUGUGCUACCUUCUACUCUACCCCCAGCACCUGGUACCGUGCCUGGUAUACAGUAAAUAUUUGUUACAUUCAUAAAUGAACGAAUGUAUUCUUAGAAGUCGAAACUUCCAGUAAAGGUGACAACCCAGAGCUUUCUCUCCAGGGGACAUUCAAUCCAAGCGACAUGUGACAGUUUUGUGUUUUAUUAAUAGUAAACAUUGACAACACAAUGUUUAGCUGACUGAUAGUGAAUAUCAGCCAUGCCCUUGAUGUAAAGACCAGCCCAAACAAAAGGAAAUUAAUUCCAUAAAUUCUCUUGUGAGACACAGUUGAAGCAGUAAUUUUCAGGGAAACUACAAGAUUAUUUUGAAUUCGGCUGGUGCACUUGUUCUCCUUGAGGGAAUGAAGAUCUGAUGAGUCAGCGAUGCAUUUGGUGUUUUAUCUCCAAAUGGUCUUGCAUGAAUUAAUCAUUAGAAAGCACGCAGGGCUCCACCCAUGUUUACUUUCCAUUUUCAAGAUUAUGUUUCACAAAUCCCCAAAUAACACUGAAAAUAAUUUUUUUUCUGAAAGUUCUGUUAAAAAAAUAAAACUAUAGUAUGAGUAGGAUAUUUUUCUUUCAUUUCCAAUUCUAACUGGUUGUUGUAAGUAUAUAGAAAAGCUAUUAUUAAUUUUUGAUAUUAGUGGCUUUUGAUGUCUAGCCAUUUUUUCAAAUUCCUUUAGCAUUUUUGUUGUGGUUGAAUUUCUUAUGACUUCUAAUUAUACUCCCAUAUUAUUUGCUAACAUUCCACUAACACACUGCUAGAUUAAAUUUGCUAAUGUUUUCGUUAGAAUUGUUUAUCUUUUAAGGAAAAGUGUUCUGUAACUUUUGUGUUAUAUGUUUUGUAGUUGGUUUUGGUAUAUUAAGUCCCAGGAUACACAAUUAAUGUACAGAAAUCUGUUGC